RNAcentral lists this ribosomal RNA (414 nucleotides) under uncultured microorganism. RNAcentral's name for it is "bacterial SSU rRNA". It matches the Rfam family "Archaeal small subunit ribosomal RNA", at positions 459 to 872 of the family's 1478-position model. The record is from RNAcentral.
CAGCCGCCGCGGUAAUACCGGCGGCCCGAGUGGCGGUCACUAUUAUUGGGCUUAAAGCGUCCGUAGCCGGGUUGGGAAGUCCUCCGGGAAAUCUGGCCGCUUAACGGUCAGAAUGCCGGAGGAUACUCCCAGCCUAGGGAGCGGGAGAGGCCGAGGGGAUUCCCGGGGUAGGGGGGAAAUCCUGUAAUCCCGGGAGGACGACCUGUGGCGAAGGCGCUCGGCUGGAACGCGUCCGACGGUGAGGGACGAAGGCCAGGGGAGCGAACCGGAUUAGAUACCCGGGUAGUCCUGGCUGUAAACGAUGCGGACUUUGUGUCGGACAAGCUAUGAGCUUGUCCGGUGCCGGAGGGAAACCGUUAAGUCCGCCGCCUGGGGAGUACGGCCGCAAGGCUGAAACUUAAAGGAAUUGGCGGG